AAAAUUGGUAUAAGAUAUACAUUUGUCAAUACAUAUCAAAUAGUACACUUAAGUUGAUAAGGAUGUGGGGGAAAAGGUACACUCAAACAUUGCUGGUGGGACUACAAAUUGGUGCAACCACUAUGGAAAGCAGUAUGGAGAUUCCUUAGAAAACUUGUAAUGGAACCACCAUUAGACCCAGCUAUCUCACUCCUCAGUUUAUAACCAAAGGACUUAAAAUCAGCAUACUACAGUGACACAGCCACAUUAGUGUUUAGAGCAGCUCAAUUCACAAUAGCUAAACUAUGGAACCAACCUAGAUGCCCUUCAACAGAUGAAUGGAUAAAGAAAAUGUGGUCCAUACACACAAUUGUGUAUACUUGUGAUCUUCCUACCUCAACUUUCCAGGUUGCUGGAAUUACAGGUUGUGCCACUGUGCCUAGCUGCAGUGUGACAUUUCAAUAGAUGUACAAUGAUCAGAUCAAAACAAUUAGUAUAUUCAUUAACUCAAAUGUUUAUGAUUUCUUUGUUUUGGAAACAUACGAAAUUCUAUUAACUGUUUUGAAAUGUACACUUAGUUGUUGUCAAGAAUAGUUGCCUUACUGUGCUAUAGAUCAUUAGAAGUUAUACUUCCUAUUCAAUUGUAC
This 626-nucleotide long non-coding RNA is filed under the name Marmota monax (woodchuck). The record is from RNAcentral. Lineage: Eukaryota; Metazoa; Chordata; Mammalia; Rodentia; Sciuridae.